CGGCACGGGCCAAUGGGGAGCGGGCAGCGCACUCCGGAGGCGCGGGGGCUGGGCCUGGAAAUUCAAAAUCGGGCCCUCGGGCAACCGUCGGCUCGGCGCGCGGGGUUGGGCGCGGCCGGUACUGGGCUGAGGGCUAGCGGGGAGGGGCGCCUGCGACUACCCGCUUCUCGGCCCCGCGAGGACCCCUGAGGGGCCGGCCCUGCGAGUGGCGGGAAGGAGCUAGAGGUUUCCGGGGCGGGUCAGCGCCGCCGCCCACAGCCGGCGGUUCAGGGAAAUUCAAAUGUAAACGUCCCCAACAGCCACAGGCGAAACUCGGAGAGGCCGGCGGGCGUCGUAAUCUCACCCCGGCCCGCGGCCGCGCUCUGGAGGCGGCCAGGCCCGGAGCGCUUACGUCACGGGCGCCGGCGUCCGGGGCCCCCAGUGCGUGCGAGCCGUUCUCCGCGGAGGAGCAGGCGGUGUGUGGCCCCGAACCCGAGGCCGCGGGAGAGCACCUCAGAAAGCCGUGCCUCGCGCGCGCGCGCGCGCGGCGGAUGGGUGGCCCCGGUGCCGUUGUUUCCUGGGUGUGUGAGGGGGGUUGUGAAAUCAAAAACUGCUGGCGAAUGAAACGACCAGAUUGGGAGUGAGCGGCGCGAGCGCUCGCCACGCUUCUGCGAAGCCAGAGGCAGAAGCCCGUGGACGCGCUGAACGGACCUCUGGCUGUGACGAGGAGCCUCCCCGAGACGGGAGUGGCGGCUAAUUGGAGAGGAAAGUUAACGUGCAGGCUGGCGUUUGCUGGGACGUGCAGGCUGCCCAGAGCGCUCGCCGCCGCCCCGGGGUGUGGGCUCCGGGUUUAACCUCGGAGCUGUCGCGCGCGCACCCCCGGGCCCCGUGCAUCGCCCACAGCCUGGCCGGCGGCAGCUGUGGGCUUGGAUGAUUGCGGCCGAGAGCGGCCCGGAUCGUUCUUGAAAUGUGUCGGUAGAAUUAGCGGAGGGCCCCAGGCUGUCCUUGGAGCCCAGGACACAUCUGGAUGGCGCUUGGGCCCCCCUCCCACUGCUUGCCCGGGUUUAGCAGGAAGUUGGAUAGGAGGUGGAGGAGUUGGGAUUGGACCUGAUGCUCACGUCGGCCGCCGGUGUUGCUCGCCCGUCAGACAAUUUCUGAAAUUCCCUUAUUCUCAGCUUUCCCCUUGCCGAGCCCUGCGCUUGGAGUAUGGUCAUUUUCUGUUUCUCUUACUCUUUCGAAGGUUAUCCUCUUCAUUCAAAUACUUUCUGAAAUCCCAUCAGCUCCAGAAUUUUCACCAGUGAAUUAGAAAGUGACAUUAGUAUAUAAGUUUGAUGAAAGUACUUGGGCAUUUACUAGGAUAACUGUCAUUUUUGCAAUACCCUGCCUUGCUUCUCCUAUAAACUCUGAGCUACUUGUCAGGUCACAUACCCUGAUUAUUGGUUGGAACAUACGUUCCUGUAACCCUGCCAAAGCCUCCACAUACCAUGCCAUUAUUUGUCUCUUCCAUAUUCGUCCUCACACGCAAUUACCUCACCAUAUAAGGACACCUUAUUUACAUUUGCCUUAUUUAUGUCAUUUGGAUCUGUAACAAAAAUACUGGAUAUCCAAGAUGUCUGGACAGAAGAUGUACAGACUAGAACUGGGGGGGAGGGGGAGUUGUGGGGUAAGACACGGAAAGGGGGAGGAGAGACUGAAAGUGAGCAAUAAUCCACAUGGGUCCCAGGAGAGGGGGGUGACAGCUGGCAGCUGAGGAUAUAGCACUAACAAAUGGAAUGGCUGGAGCUGCUAUAAAAUGAAAAGAGAAAUUGCCAAAUGGUAUCUCUUGACUGUAGACACAUAUUUGUUGAAUGAUGAAUGAAAAGAAAUGAAUACUUCAACUUCCACAUAGCUGGGUUGUUUCAUUUAACGUAGUUUGCAAAACUGAUACCGUUUCUAGUUUUCAUAAAAAUGUAAAUCAUAUUUCAUGAAGGUGGAAUAUGCUGAAUCUUUCCCAAGUCUGAUUUUGAUUUUUGUGUUUUACUACUAGUUUUUAAGCACUUAAUAUAUUUGAAAGGCAGAGUUACAGAGAGAGGAAAAGAUACAGAAAACAUACACCGACCCGCUAAUUCACUUCCAAAUGGUCGCAAUAGCCAGUGGCACCAAAACCAGAAACCUCAGCUCCAUCUGUGUCUCCCACUUGGGUGCCAGCCCCAAGCACUUGGGCUAUCCUACACUACUUUCUCAGGCCAUAGCAGGGAGCUGGAUCAGAUUAGAAAUGGAUUUGUGUGUGUGUGUGUGUUUUGUGUGUGUAUUUUUUUUUUCUAGAUUUAUUUGCUUACUUUGAAAUAGCUACAAUCCUCAGAUGGCUGCAACAGUCAGGACUGGGCUGGUCUGGAGCUGGGAGCCAGGAGCUUCUCCAGGUCUCCCACAUGAGUGGCAGGGGCCCAAACACUUGGACCAUAUUCUGCUGCUUUUCCCAGGCCAUUAGCAGUGGGCUGGGUAGGAAUAGGAGUAGCAGGCAUAGGAACCGGUGUCCAUAUUGGAUGCUGGUGUCACAGGCAACGGCUUUACCCUCUUACGCCAUGUUGCGGGCCCCAGAUUUCCCUGUUUUAAAAUGGUUCUGGGAGUUUUUAAAGUACAUUUAUCAUCUUCCAUAGGAUGGUUCUCAUAGUACAGCCACCUGAGGCCUAUACACUGCUCAGAAUUAUUUUCCAGACAUGCUUGUUGAGAUCUGGACAUUAAGCAAAACCAGAUGUGUGGAGUUGUUUUCUUUUAGCUCAGUAGUUCAAUUUUACUAUAUCUUAGCCAAAAAGAAAAAGAAUUGAUAUUGUUGCAUUUUAAUUUAAUUUUAUACCAAAACAUGGUCAAGAUACUGUCAUACUCUAAGUUAUUUUAGAUACCUUUAAUGUAUUUCUAAAACUAAUACGCAUCUAAUUUUUAAUAGAUUUUUUUAAUAUUUAUUUUUUUGAAAGGCAGGGUGACAGAGAAAGAGGAAGAGAGAAAGAGUCUUAGAGAUCUUCCAUCUGCUGCUUCACUCCUCAAAUACCUUCAACAACCAGGGCUGGGCCAGACCAAAGCCAGGACCCAGACUUCCGUUUGGGGUUUCCUAUGCAGCUUUCUAUGGAAAACACCACAGCGAACUCCAGAGAAAUGAAAUAAUCAAGACACAGUCCCCACCACGUGUGAACUGAGAGUGUGCAAGGAAGGACCUGUGCAGAGUGGACAGUGACAGAGAGAGAGACAGAGAGAGAAAGGUCUUCCUUUGCCGUUGGUUCACCCUCCAAUGGCCGCCGCGGCUAGCGCGCUGUGGCUGGUGCACCGCGCUGAUCCGAUGGCAGGAGCCAGGUACUUCUCCUGGUCUCCCAUGGGGUGCAGGGCCCAAGCACUUGGGCCAUCCUCCACUGUACUCCCUGGCCACAGCAGAGAGCUGGCCUGGAAGAGGGGCCACCGGGACAGAAUCCAGCGCCCCGACCGGGACUAGAACCCGGUGUGCCGGCGCCGCUAGGGGGAGGAUUAGCCUAGUGAGCCAUGGCGCCGGCCAAGCCUAAAUCUUAUACGUCCCUCCACCACUUCCACAUAUUGAAGAGAAAAAAAAAAGUAUGCUUUCUGCUUGACCACAGGGUCAACCACGGCUGCCUGCUUUGCAGAAAAUGGGUGACGGGAAGGGUGCAGCCCUGUGCUUGCCACCAGCGCCUGGUGAGGUCAGAAACGCUGAUGAGCGCCCUCACCACCACCCCGCCCUGGUCUCCGCCCUCGGGCUGGCCACCAGUUCCGGCCCACACUGCUCCCUCCUGCAGCCUCCGCCAGCUGGAGGAGGCCAGAGGUGUUCACUUCCCUCCAAGAGCCUGCUGGUAGAUUUCUAGAAUUUGGAAAUAAAGUAUGCAAAUUGCCACCCCCUUCCCCAGCAGUGCCUUCUCUUUCACUGUGGCCUGCUACCUUACCUCCAACAGCUUUUCUUAAGGAAAACUAGUAGAUCUGGAAUCUAAUCACUUUUAUCUGACUAACUGCUGUCUAAUGGCAAACAAGCAUCUAAUUCGCACACCGGUUCUUUCUCGUUGAUUUCCUUUAGGUUUGAGGGGAUAGAAAUAGGAAACAAAAUCAUUCAAUAAAUAUAGUGGAGUUCAUCACAAAGUCACUGGAAACGAUGAGACGGUAUGUUUAACAGGCAGCAGCUGCGAUAGCUCGAAGGACAGUUGUGGGGAGCAACUCGGACUAGACUGUUACUGGAAUUAAGACUUAUUCUAUGCAUCUGCUUUCCCACAAUAUGGCGCUGAGAAGGGAGUAACAACUUCUACGCAGCUGCCUCUCGCCAACUUGAGUGAUGACCUGCAGGAGCUGAUCCUGCUCCUGAUUGCAGGAGAGCAGCGUACUCGGCGUGUGGGUAGCAGAGUUGGGAUUGGUGGAAGAGGACUAUAAAGGAGGAGAGAGACAACAUGCACCAGGAACAUCUAUCUGAAGGAACACCUGUGCAGCCCCCUAGAGAGCCGGCCGGCGGUGUGCCGCUCCCCCGCGGAAGUGGGGAAAGUGGCAAGGGGAACCGCCCUUCCACGGAGGUGGAAGGGUCAGUAGCCAACCCGGGAAGAACCAGCAGCAAACCCGGGGAGGGCCGAGCAGACGAAAGAACAACGCAGGGUCCUGUGUCGUUCCUCCACGAAGACGGGGAGCGACAGACAGUACUUACUAAAGAGAGGGAAGAGAAAUAGGACCAUAAAAGCAGACAAAAUUCCGAGAUGUCACAGACUAAAACAGAGUGAACCUUCUUUUCAAAAGCAGAAUACAGACAAGCUACUAACAGACAAGAAAUAGGGUUCUUUUUGCCUUAGAAAUCACAUGAUCUGGAUGAUGCCAAAAAUCUCUGUUAACAUAGGAUUUGAUUAAGGAAAAUGGUAUGUUAUUUUCUGUGCUUUUAUUUUUAACUUUUUUUUAUUGUAUUUUAGACAUGCAUACAAACAGAGAUCUCCCAUCCCCCUGUCAUCUGUUCAAGUACCUGUGAGAGCCAGGACUGGGCUAGGCCAAAGCUAGAAGCCAGGAAUUCAGUCCUCC
Molecule: non-coding RNA, 5001 nt
Organism: Oryctolagus cuniculus (rabbit)
Lineage: Eukaryota; Metazoa; Chordata; Mammalia; Lagomorpha; Leporidae
Source: RefSeq, a predicted model, not a curated record